Long non-coding RNA from Camelina sativa (false flax), 856 nucleotides. RefSeq lists it as uncharacterized. Lineage: Eukaryota; Viridiplantae; Streptophyta; Magnoliopsida; Brassicales; Brassicaceae. The record is from RefSeq and is a predicted model, not a curated record.
AAUGAUGUUUCAUAUAUUUUUCCCUCGUCUCGCCGCCUUGCCAGAUUCCCUUUGAUCAACUUUCUUCUUCUUUGUGCUUCUUCUCUCGAGAAUCUCUCGAUCACUCAGAAAAAUUUGAGGGUAUUUAUGAAGAAUCAAAAUGUUUUUCAGAAGAGAGGCCAAGAUGACAAAAGAAGAAAGAUGAGAAGCAAAAUUCUAAACGGAACGAGAGAAAUGUAGAAGAAGAUAGCGCGGUUGACAGUUUUGGAGAAGAUGAUGUUCAACAAUCAACAUAAUCAUCACAUGAUGAGUUGUCUUCUGUUAAAUGGUAGAUCUAAAAUUUUUCUCAUAGCCUGUAGUGAGAUGACAGCCUAAUUUCUGGGAGUAUACAUUAGAACAGCUCAAGUCGAGUCGACUACUAGGUUGAGUUGGUGGCAAUCUAUGAACAGAAUUGCAGUUCAAGGCUUUGUGUGGGGUAUCAAUUCGUUUGACCAGUGGGGAGUUGAGCUAGGAACAGGUUUGGUUACUCAGGUGAGAAAGCAAUUUCAUUCAUCAUGCACUCAAGUUUACUAGCUUCAGUUCUCUGUCUUCCCUGAAGCUGAGAUGUUACCAACAAAGUCUGUGUCCACUCUAGACACUUUUUGGCUUAAGGGAAAUGCCAAGUUCUUGCUCGGAAGCAUCAACCCAACCCAAACCUUGUGUGAGGUUUUCAUCAGUGAGCUUAUCAAGGGAAUAAAUUAGUUUUCCCUUCUUUAUUUUCUAGAUUAUCAGACUUUGUGUUUUCAUUAAUUAUAUGCAUUUUCCUAGAUUUUGAUCUUUUUUAGAAAAGUUGAGGCAUGUCCAAAACAAAUCAUUAAAAAAUGAAAUUCUAAUUUUA